AUGGUUGGGAAACCAUGCCGUAGAGGGUGAUAGCCCCGUAUACGAAAUAGACAAGACUCGAAAUGGAAUCCUGAGUACGGCGAGACACGUGAAAUCUUGUCGGAAUCAACGCGGACCACCGCGUAAGGCUAAAUACUACCUAUUCACCGAUAGUGAACCAGUACCGUGAGGGAAAGGUGAAAAGCACCCCGGGAGGGGAGUGAAAUAGUACCUGAAACCAUAUGCCUACAAGAAGUCGGAGCCCGUUAAUGGGUGACGGCGUGCCUUUUGUAGAAUGAGCCGGCGAGUUAUGAUAGCAUGCAAGGUUAAGUAGAAAAUACGGAGCCGUAGUGAAAGCGAGCCUUAAUAGGGCGUUUAGUAUGUUGUCAUAGACCCGAAACCAGGUGAUCUAGCCAUGAGCAGGUUGAAGUUGAGGUAAAACUUAAUGGAGGACCGAACCGACGUUCGUUGAAAAGACCGCGGAUGACUUGUGGCUAGGGGUGAAAUUCCAAUCGAACCUGGAGAUAGCUGGUUCUCCCCGAUAUAGCUUUAGGGCUAGCGUCGAGGUUAGCAAGUUGGAGGUAGAGCACUAAAUGUAUGAUGGCCCCACCUAGGGGUACUGAAUGCAAUUAAACUCCGAAUGCCAAUUUUGUAUACUCGGCAGUCAGUACAUGGGUGAUAAGGUCCAUGCACGUAAGGGAAACAGCCCAGAUCAUCAGCUAAGGUCCCAAAAUUUAUGCUAAGUGUGUAAGGAUGUGAAGUCGCUUAGACAGCUAGGAGGUUGGCUUAGAAGCAGCCACCCUUUAAAGAAAGCGUAAUAGCUCACUAGUCGAGUCGGCCUGCGCGGAAGAUGUAACGGGGCUCAAACCAUGCACCGAAGCUACGGGUAUCAUCUUAGGAUGAUGCGGUAGAGGAGCGUUCUGUAAGCCUGUGAAGGUGAGUUGAGAAGCUUGCUGGAGGUAUCAGAAGUGCGAAUGCUGACAUGAGUAACGACAAUGCGAGUGAAAAACUCGCACGCCGAAAGACCAAGGUUUCCUGCGCAACGUUAAUCGACGCAGGGUUAGUCGGUCCCUAAGGCGAGGCUGAAAAGCGUAGUCGAUGGAAAACAGGUUAAUAUUCCUGUACUUCCAGUUAUUGCGAUGGAGGGACGGAGAAGGCUAGGCCAGCUUGGCGUUGGUUGUCCAAGUUUAAGGUGGUAGGCUGAGAUCUUAGGCAAAUCCGGGAUCUCAAGGCCGAGAGCUGAUGACGAGUUGCCAUUAGGCGACGAAGUGGUUGAUGCCAUGCUUCCAAGAAAAGCUCCUAAGCUUCAGAUAACUGGGAACCGUACCCCAAACCGACACAGGUGGUUGGGUAGAGAAUACCAAGGCGCUUGAGAGAACUCGGGUGAAGGAACUAGGCAAAAUGGCACCGUAACUUCGGGAGAAGGUGCGCCGGUGAGGGUGAAGCACUUGCUGCGUAAGCCCACGCCGGUCGAAGAUACCAGGCCGCUGCGACUGUUUAUUAAAAACACAGCACUCUGCAAACACGAAAGUGGACGUAUAGGGUGUGACGCCUGCCCGGUGCCGGAAGGUUAAUUGAUGGGGUUAGCGCAAGCGAAGCUCUUGAUCGAAGCCCCGGUAAACGGCGGCCGUAACAAUAACGGUCCUAAGGUAGCGAAAUUCCUUGUCAGGUAAGUUCUGACCCGCACGAAAGGCGUAAUGAUCCCUUCGCUGUCUCGGCUGCAGACUCGGUGAAAUUUUAGUACCUGUGAAGAUGCAGGUUACCCGCAACUAGACGGAAAGACCCCAUGGAGCUUUACUAUAGCUUGAUAUUGGGUUUUGAUAUAGCAUGUAUAGGAUAGGUGGGAGACUUUGAAGCAGUAACGCUAGUUGUUGUGGAGUCAUCCUUGGAAUACCACCCUUGUUAUGUCGGAAUCCUAACCUAGAUCUGUAAGCCAGAUCAGAGACAGUGUCAGGUGGGUAGUUUGACUGGGGCGGUCGCCUCCUAAAAUGUAACGGAGGCGCCCAAAGGUACCCUCAGUAUGGUCGGAAAUCAUACAUAGA
This 2021-nucleotide ribosomal RNA is filed under the name Alastor atropos. RNAcentral describes it as "bacterial LSU rRNA". It matches the Rfam family "Bacterial large subunit ribosomal RNA", at positions 338 to 2348 of the family's 2925-position model. The record is from RNAcentral. Lineage: Eukaryota; Metazoa; Arthropoda; Insecta; Hymenoptera; Vespidae.